RNAcentral lists this ribosomal RNA (301 nucleotides) under uncultured bacterium. RNAcentral describes it as "partial 16S ribosomal RNA". It matches the Rfam family "Bacterial small subunit ribosomal RNA", at positions 509 to 807 of the family's 1533-position model. The record is from RNAcentral.
CAGCAGCCGCGUUAAAACAGAGGGUGCGAGCGUUAAUCGGAUUUACUGGGCGUAAAGCGUGCGUAGGCGGCUUCUUAAGUCGGAUGUGAAAUCCCUGAGCUUAACUUAGGAAUUGCAUUCGAUACUGGGAAGCUAGAGUAUGGGAGAGGAUGGUAGAAUUCCAGGUGUAGCGGUGAAAUGCGUAGAGAUCUGGAGGAAUACCGAUGGCGAAGGCAGCCAUCUGGCCUAAUACUGACGCUGAGGUACGAAAGCAUGGGGAGCAAACAGGAUUAGAUACCCCCGUAGUCCCUGUCUCUUAUAC